GUCUACAGCCAUACCACCCUGAACGUGCCCGAUCUCGUCUGAUCUCAGAAGCUAAGCAGGGUCGGGCCUGGUUAGUACUUGGAUGGGAGAUACAAAGUGAUCAGAGUAUCUCACACC
RNAcentral lists this ribosomal RNA (117 nucleotides) under Neogale vison (American mink). Lineage: Eukaryota; Metazoa; Chordata; Mammalia; Carnivora; Mustelidae. The record is from RNAcentral.